GCCUCGGUGGUGUAGCGGUGGAACACGUGUUCCCGUUAUGGAUAAACUCGGGUACAAUUCCCGCUUAAGGCC
Molecule: non-coding RNA, 72 nt
Organism: Parelaphostrongylus tenuis
Lineage: Eukaryota; Metazoa; Nematoda; Chromadorea; Rhabditida; Metastrongylidae
Source: the annotation of a GenBank genome assembly